This 71-nucleotide transfer RNA is filed under the name Ornithorhynchus anatinus (platypus). RNAcentral's name for it is "tRNA-Gly (GCC) (tRNA-Gly-GCC-10-1)". It matches the Rfam family "tRNA". Rfam says of the family: Transfer RNA (tRNA) molecules are approximately 80 nucleotides in length. Their secondary structure includes four short double-helical elements and three loops (D, anti-codon, and T loops). The record is from Rfam by way of RNAcentral. Lineage: Eukaryota; Metazoa; Chordata; Mammalia; Monotremata; Ornithorhynchidae.
GGAUUGGUGGUUCAGUGGUAGAAUUCUCGCCUGCCACGCGGGAGGCCUGGGUUCGAUUCCCAGCCAAUGCA